Molecule: small nucleolar RNA, 138 nt
Organism: Tachyglossus aculeatus (Australian echidna)
Lineage: Eukaryota; Metazoa; Chordata; Mammalia; Monotremata; Tachyglossidae
Source: RefSeq, a predicted model, not a curated record
CCCCUCUCAGGAUGGCAUCUGGAGAGUUUCCAGUACCCUACCAGUAUCAGCUACUGGAGGGAGAGUCAAGCAGAGGCAAACCCAUUCCACUCCUAGCUUGGGCAGUGACUAGCGAGUGGCAGGCAAUCUGCUACAAUC